RNAcentral lists this ribosomal RNA (113 nucleotides) under Saimiri boliviensis boliviensis (Bolivian squirrel monkey). Lineage: Eukaryota; Metazoa; Chordata; Mammalia; Primates; Cebidae. The record is from RNAcentral.
AUCUAUGCCAUACCACACUGAACACAUCUCGUCUGAUCUUAGAAGCUAAGCAGGCUCAGGCCUGGUUAGUACUUGGAUGGGAGACCCCUUUAAAAUACUGAGCACUGUAGGCU